This 425-nucleotide ribosomal RNA is filed under the name uncultured bacterium. Its description in RNAcentral is "partial 16S ribosomal RNA". It matches the Rfam family "Bacterial small subunit ribosomal RNA", at positions 354 to 796 of the family's 1533-position model. The record is from RNAcentral.
GUCGAGAAUAAUUCACAAUGGGCGCAAGCCUGAUCUAGCCAUGCCGCGUGAGCGAUGAAGGCCUUAGGGUUGUAAAGCUCUUUCAGUGGGGAAGAUAAUGACUGUACCCACAGAAGAAGCCCCGGCUAACUCCGUGCCAGCAGCCGCGGUAAUACGGAGGGGGCUAGCGUUGUUCGGAAUUACUGGGCGUAAAGCGCACGUAGGCGGACUGGAAAGUCAGGGGUGAAAUCCCGGGGCUCAACCCCGGAACUGCCUUUGAAACUCCCAGUCUUGAGGUCGAGAGAGGUGAGUGGAAUUCCGAGUGUAGAGGUGAAAUUCGUAGAUAUUCGGAGGAACACCAGUGGCGAAGGCGGCUCACUGGCUCGAUACUGACGCUGAGGUGCGAAAGCGUGGGGAGCAAACAGGAUUAGAUACCCCGGUAGUCC